AAAAAAACUGCGAAACACUAAAAAUUGGAUAGCAGAAAUUUCAAAAGUCAAAAACUCAAUUCCAACUUCAUGGCUAAAAGCUUUAACUACGGAAGAAUCCAUUAAAUCAAAAGUAAAUGUUAACAGAUUAUCUAUCAAUAUAAACAAAGAAAACAUUGAAAUUGAAAAUUUAAGCAACAAAAACGUGUAUCAAUUGCUGGUUCAAAAAAAAAAUCUCUCCAAACA
This 225-nucleotide long non-coding RNA is filed under the name Mytilus galloprovincialis (Mediterranean mussel). The record is from RNAcentral. Lineage: Eukaryota; Metazoa; Mollusca; Bivalvia; Mytilida; Mytilidae.